UACGGGAGGCAGCAGUGGGGAAUUUUGCGCAAUGGGCGAAAGCCUGACGCAGCAACGCCGCGUGAGUGAUGAAGGCUUUCGGGUCGUAAAGCUCUGUCUAGAUGGGAAAGAAAUGAUAUUCAGGCUAAUACCCGUGAUAUCUUGACGGUACCUCAUAAAGGAAGCACCGGCUAACUCCGUGCCAGCAGCCGCGGUAAUACGGAGGGUGCAAGCGUUGUUCGGAAUUAUUGGGCGUAAAGCGCGUGUAGGCGGUUUGAUUAAGUCUGAUGUGAAAGCCCUGGGCUCAACCCAGGAAGUGCAUUGGAAACUGGCAGACUUGAAUACGGGAGAGGGUAGUGGAAUUCCUAGUGUAGGAGUGAAAUCCGUAGAUAUUAGGAGGAACACCGGUGGCGAAGGCGGCUACCUGGACCGAUAUUGACGCUGAGACGCGAAAGCGUGGGUAGCAAACAGGAUUAGAUACCCUGGUAGUCCACGCCGUAAACGAUGAGUACUAGGUGUUGCGGGUAUUGACCCCUGCAGUGCCGCAGCUAACGGUACGGUCGCAGAGACUAACAACGCAUUA
RNAcentral lists this ribosomal RNA (562 nucleotides) under uncultured bacterium. RNAcentral describes it as "bacterial SSU rRNA". It matches the Rfam family "Bacterial small subunit ribosomal RNA", at positions 340 to 862 of the family's 1533-position model. The record is from RNAcentral.